This 368-nucleotide ribosomal RNA is filed under the name uncultured organism. Its description in RNAcentral is "bacterial SSU rRNA". It matches the Rfam family "Bacterial small subunit ribosomal RNA", at positions 526 to 896 of the family's 1533-position model. The record is from RNAcentral.
CGGAGGAUCCAAGCGUUGUCCGGAUUUAUUGGGUUUAAAGGGUGCGUAGGCGGAUCUUUAAGUCAGUGGUGAAAGCCUGCAGCUUAACUGUAGAACAGCCAUUGAAACUGAAGAUCUUGAAUGUGGUUAAAGUAGGCGGAAUGUAUCAUGUAGCGGUGAAAUGCUUAGAUAUGAUACAGAACACCGAUAGCGAAGGCAGCUUGCUGAACCAUUAUUGACGCUGAGGCACGAAAGCGUGGGGAGCGAACAAGAUUAGAUACCCUGGUAGUCCACGCCCUAAACGUUGAUUACUCGUUGUUGGCGAUAUACUGUCAGCGACCAAGCUAAAGCGUUAAGUAAUCCACCUGGGAAGUACGACCGCAAGGUUG